Pogonomyrmex barbatus (red harvester ant) is the source of this 789-nucleotide long non-coding RNA. RefSeq lists it as uncharacterized. The record is from RefSeq and is a predicted model, not a curated record. NCBI's taxonomy places the organism in Eukaryota, Metazoa, Arthropoda, Insecta, Hymenoptera, Formicidae.
UAAACCGAUGAUGAGAUUCCAGAUGUGACCGCCGCCGUCCGUAUCGAUUGGAACGCACGUAGCAAUAUACUCGAUACUCAACACGAUGCGUCUAUAUCCUCCUUCCCCUCCUUCCCUCCCGGUAUCUCUCACCGCGACCGAGUCGGGCACUUCCGGAUUUAUGAAACGUGCGCACUCGAUCUGAUUCGUUCUUUACGUUUGCACUAUGUUACACUUUUCGCACUUGAAAUGAGCGUAGAAUCAGAUGUUGGAAAGAGAAAGAUGAAGGAGAACAAAAAAGUUCGGCUAUGAUCAGACAGAGUAAUAUAAAUUUGUUACUCAGAUACAUCAGAUACUUUUUUAUACGACUGUAGAAAUUAUUUGUAUAAAAAUGGAUUGUUUUAUUUUGUCCGCAUUGCUUGGGAUCUACUGAGAUUAAGAGAGAAAGAGGCAGGACGGAGAGGUUAAGUGCGAACAUGCAAAUAGAACAAGCCGGUGUCAAUCGCUAGCCAUUAACUUCACGCCGGUUGUAAACAUUUGAGUAAUUUAUUGGUCUAUAAAGAUAUGUAGUUAAGGUUGCUUAUAUAACAAACAACCUUGUAGCACCAUCAAGAACAUCUUGCACUUUUUCAGAAUAUUACCUAAACUACUCCAGCUUGGCACUUUUUGAAUGUAUGUGAAACAGAAGUCUUUAUUCAACAAUUAACAUAUCGUUGUACAAAAGUAUCUGAAAUCAAAAUCAUCUUAUCCCCUCCAUUAAAUUAGAAGAUGGGAAAACAAAAUAAAUUGUAUAAGAAUGAUGUAUAAUUG